UAACCGUAGGUGAACCUGCGGUUGGAUCAUUAUAAAUGAACCUCUUGCCUAGAAUCGAUUGAACCAGUAAUGGAUCUCUUCUAGGCGAGAAAAUACCCUUUGUGCACCGUAAUAUGUUUUUCAGGCAUAAAGUUAGGAGAAAAGUCUUUUGAAAUAUUUUGGGCAAGGUUUUUAUGCAAUUAUAUUGACAGUCAUAGGAGUUUAUUCGCCAUAGUGGUCUGUCAAGGCAACGUAUGAUUACUUUUGUCUGGGAUGUUUUUUAGAUUUUUUUACGUACUAUUCACCCUAGUAUUAUGGAUUUACGGGUGUUUAUUCAACCGUAGAUUUUCAAUAGAAAGGGAGAGUGAACGACGUCCUCUUUUUGAGGGAAUUUUGAAAAUUCAUGGUAGUUUCGGCUGCCGUGAGUCGUCUUAAGAAACUCGAAUUUUUUGGCCUUUCAUGCCUGGCAGUUUAACCAACCCUUUUAAAUUUUGACUGAUGUUUUUCUAAUUAUUAGAAUAAAAAACAACUUUCAACAACGGAUCUCUUGGCUCUC
RNAcentral lists this unclassified non-coding RNA (535 nucleotides) under plant metagenome. Its description in RNAcentral is "partial contains small subunit ribosomal RNA, internal transcribed spacer 1, and 5.8S ribosomal RNA". The record is from RNAcentral.